Molecule: ribosomal RNA, 454 nt
Filed under: uncultured bacterium
Lineage: Bacteria
Description: partial 16S ribosomal RNA
Rfam family: Bacterial small subunit ribosomal RNA
Source: RNAcentral
GAUGAACGCUGACAGAAUGCUUAACACAUGCAAGUCAACUUGAACUUCGGUUUGGGUGGCGGACGGGUGAGUAACGCGUAAAGAACUUGCCUCACAGCUAGGGACAACAUUUGGAAACGAAUGCUAAUACCUGAUAUUAUGAUUAUAUGGCAUCGUAUAAUUAUGAAAGCUAUAUGCGCUGUGAGAGAGCUUUGCGUCCCAUUAGCUAGUUGGAGAGGUAACAGCUCACCAAGGCGAUGAUGGGUAGCCGGCCUGAGAGGGUGAUCGGCCACAAGGGGACUGAGACACGGCCCUUACUCCUACGGGAGGCAGCAGUGGGGAAUAUGGGACAAGGGACCGAGAGUCUGAUCCAGCAAUUCUGUGUGCACGAUGAAGUUUUUCGGAAUGUAAAGUGCUUUCAGUUGGGAAGAAAAAAAUGACGGUACCAACAGAAGAAGUGACGGCUAAAUACGUG